GCCCACGUAGCUCAGUCGGUAGAGCACGUCCUUGGUAAGGACGGGGUCACCGGUUCAAAUCCGGUCGUGGGCUCCA
RNAcentral lists this transfer RNA (76 nucleotides) under bacterium. Its description in RNAcentral is "tRNA-Thr". It matches the Rfam family "tRNA". Rfam says of the family: Transfer RNA (tRNA) molecules are approximately 80 nucleotides in length. Their secondary structure includes four short double-helical elements and three loops (D, anti-codon, and T loops). RNAcentral also lists the same sequence under 3 other names. The record is from RNAcentral.